Molecule: transfer RNA, 75 nt
Filed under: Candidatus Fervidibacter japonicus
Lineage: Bacteria; Candidatus Fervidibacterota; Fervidibacteria; Fervidibacterales; Fervidibacteraceae
Description: bacterium HR17 tRNA-Lys
Rfam family: tRNA
About the family: Transfer RNA (tRNA) molecules are approximately 80 nucleotides in length.
Source: RNAcentral
UGCGCCGGUAGCUCAGUCGGCAGAGCACCGGACUUUUAAUCCGGGGGUCGCAGGUUCGACUCCUGCCCGGCGCAU